This 376-nucleotide ribosomal RNA is filed under the name uncultured bacterium. RNAcentral describes it as "bacterial SSU rRNA". It matches the Rfam family "Bacterial small subunit ribosomal RNA", at positions 521 to 896 of the family's 1533-position model. The record is from RNAcentral.
UAAGACGAACCGUGCGAACGUUGUUCGGAAUCACUGGGCUUAAAGGGCGCGUAGGCGGGGUCGCCAGUCUGUGGUGAAAUCCCCCGGCUCAACCGGGGAACUGCCGUGGAUACUGCGACUCUCGAGGGGUGUAGGGGCAUGCGGAACUUCCGGUGGAGCGGUGAAAUGCGUAGAUAUCGGAAGGAACGCCGGUGGCGAAAGCGGCGUGCUGGACACCUUCUGACGCUGAGGCGCGAAAGCCAGGGGAGCAAACGGGAUUAGAUACCCCGGUAGUCCUGGCCCUAAACGAUGGGUACUAGAUUGUGGACUGGACAUGGGUUCACAGUCGAAGCAAAAGUGAUAAGUACCCCGCCUGGGGAGUAUGGUCGCAAGGCUG